UGGACCAAUGAUGAUGCCUGGUGGCGAAUGAGUCAAGGAUGAUGACUGUCACGUGUCUGAAACUGAGCUCCAG
Molecule: small nucleolar RNA, 73 nt
Organism: Sciurus vulgaris (Eurasian red squirrel)
Lineage: Eukaryota; Metazoa; Chordata; Mammalia; Rodentia; Sciuridae
Source: Ensembl